Molecule: ribosomal RNA, 884 nt
Filed under: uncultured fungus
Lineage: Eukaryota; Fungi
Description: SSU rRNA
Rfam family: Eukaryotic small subunit ribosomal RNA
Source: RNAcentral
GUGCCAGCAGCCGCGGUAAUUCCAGCUCCAAUAGCGUAUAUUAAAGUUGUUGUGGUUAAAAAGCUCGUAGUUGAACCUUGGGCCUGGCUGGCCGGUCCGCCUCACCGCGUGCACUGGUCCGGCCGGGCCUUUCCCUCUGUGGAACCCCAUACCCUUCACUGGGCGUGGCGGGGAAACAGGACAUUUACUUUGAAAAAAUUAGAGUGCUCCAGGCAGGCCUAUGCUCGAAUACAUUAGCAUGGAAUAAUAAAAUAGGACGCGCGGUUCUAUUUUGUUGGUUUAUAGGACCGCCGUAAUGAUUAAUAGGGACAGUCGGGGGCAUCAGUAUUCAACUGUCAGAGGUGAAAUUCUUGGAUCAGUUGAAGACUAACUACUGCGAAAGCAUUUGCCAAGGAUGUUUUCAUUAAUCAGGAACGAAAGUUAGGGGAUCGAAGACGAUCAGAUACCGUCGUAGUCUUAACCAUAAACUAUGCCGACUAGGGAUCGGACGGUGUUAUUCAUGACCCGUUCGGCACCUUACGAGAAAUCAAAGUGCUUGGGCUCCAGGGGGAGUAUGGUCGCAAGGCUGAAACUUAAAGAAAUUGACGGAAGGGCACCACCAGGGGUGGAGCCUGCGGCUUAAUUUGACUCAACACGGGGAAACUCACCAGGUCCAGACACAAUAAGGAUUGACAGAUUGAGAGCUCUUUCUUGAUUUUGUGGUGGUGUGCAUGGCCGUUCUUAGUUGGUGGGGUGACUUGUCUGCUUAAUUGCGAUACGACGAGACCUUACCUGCUAAAUAGCCCGCAUUGCUCAGCAGUGCGCUGCUUCUUAGAGGGACUUCGCUCAAGCCGAAGAAGUUUGAGGCAAUAACAGGUCUGUGAUGCCCUUAAUGUUCUGACGUA